CAAAAAAUAGUUUAAUUUAAAAUGAUAAUUUUGGGAAUUAUCGAUAUUUAUAUUUUUAUAUAUUUAUAAAUUUUUUUGA
Molecule: transfer RNA, 79 nt
Filed under: Apis cerana (Asiatic honeybee)
Lineage: Eukaryota; Metazoa; Arthropoda; Insecta; Hymenoptera; Apidae
Description: tRNA-Pro
Source: RNAcentral